This 497-nucleotide ribosomal RNA is filed under the name uncultured bacterium. RNAcentral's name for it is "partial 16S ribosomal RNA". It matches the Rfam family "Bacterial small subunit ribosomal RNA", at positions 28 to 507 of the family's 1533-position model. The record is from RNAcentral.
GAUGAACGCUGGCGGCGUGCCUAAUACAUGCAAGUCGAGCGAACGGACGAGAAGCUUGCUUCUCUGAUGUUAGCGGCGGACGGGUGAGUAACACGUGGAUAACCUACCUAUAAGACUGGGAUAACUUCGGGAAACCGGAGCUAAUACCGGAUGAUAUUUUGAACCGCAUGGUUCAAAAGUGAAAGACGGUCUUGCUGUCACUUAUAGAUGGAUCCGCGCUGCAUUAGCUAGUUGGUAAGGUAACGGCUUACCAAGGCAACGAUGCAUAGCCGACCUGAGAGGGUGAUCGGCCACACUGGAACUGAGAAACGGUCCAGACUCCUACGGGAGGCAGCAGUAGGGAAGCUUCCGCAAUGGGCGAAAGCCUGACGGAGCAACGCCGCGUGAGUGAUGAAGGUCUUCGGAUCGUAAAACUCUGUUAUUAGGGAAGAACAUAUGUGUAAGUAACUGUGCACAUCUUGACGGUACCUAAUCAGAAAGCCACGGCUAACUACGUG